UCCAGACUCCUACGGGAGGCAGCAGUGAGGAAUAUUGGUCAAUGGCCGCAGGGCUGAACCAGCCAAGUCGCGUGAGGGAUGACGGUCCUAUGGAUUGUAAACCUCUUUUGUCAGGGAGCAAUUGGCGCUACGUGUAGCGUUAUCGAGAGUACCUGAAGAAAAAGCAUCGGCUAACUCCGUGCCAGCAGCCGCGGUAAUACGGAGGAUGCGAGCGUUAUCCGGAUUUAUUGGGUUUAAAGGGUGCGCAGGCGGCACGGCAAGCCGGCGGUCAAAUCGCGGGGCUCAACCCCGCCCAGCCGUCGGAACUGCCGGGCUAGAGUGGGCGAGAAGUGCGCGGAAUGCGUGGUGUAGCGGUGAAAUGCAUAGAUAUCACGCAGAACUCCGAUUGCGAAGGCGGCGUACCGGCGCCCAACUGACGCUGAAGCACGAAGGCGUGGGUAUCGAACAGGAUUAGAUACCCGUGUA
RNAcentral lists this ribosomal RNA (465 nucleotides) under uncultured bacterium. Its description in RNAcentral is "bacterial SSU rRNA". It matches the Rfam family "Bacterial small subunit ribosomal RNA", at positions 330 to 792 of the family's 1533-position model. The record is from RNAcentral.